Molecule: ribosomal RNA, 472 nt
Filed under: uncultured bacterium
Lineage: Bacteria
Description: partial 16S ribosomal RNA
Rfam family: Bacterial small subunit ribosomal RNA
Source: RNAcentral
GACGAACGCUGGCGGCGUGCUUAACACAUGCAAGUCGAACGGGAGUAUCGAAGAAGCUUGCUUUUAAGAUACUUUAGUGGCGGACGGGUGAGUAACGCGUGAGGAGCUGUCCUAUGCAGGGGGACAACAGUUGGAAACGACUGCUAAUACCCCAUAAGCCGAGAGGUAAAAGGAGCGAUCCGGCAGAGGAGGUACUCGCGUCCUAUCAGCUAGUAGGUGAGGUAACGGCUCACCUAGGCGAAGACGGGUAGCCGGCCUGAGAGGGCGAACGGCCACACUGGAACUGAGAUACGGUCCAGACUCCUACGGGAGGCAGCAGUGGGGAAUAUUGGGCAAUGGGGGCAACCCUGACCCAGCGACGCCGCGUGGGUGAAGAAAUCCUUCGGGAUGUAAAGCCCUGUUGUAUGGGAAGAGCAGAAGACGGUACCAUACGAGGAAGCCCCGGCAAACUACGUGCCAGCCGCCGCCGUAA